UACGUAGGGUGCAAGCGUUGUCCGGAAUUAUUGGUCGUAAAGAGCUCGUAUGCGGAUUGUCGCGUCUGCUGUGAAAAUCCGAGGCUCAACCUCGGACCUGCAGUGGGUACGGGCAAACUAGAGUGCGGUAGGGGAGAUUGGAAUUCCUGGUGUAGCGGUGGAAUGCGCACAUAUCAGGAGGAACACCAAUGGCGAAGGCAGAUCUCUGGCUCGUAACUGACGCUGAGGAGCGAAAGCGUGGGGAGCGAACAGGAUUAGAUACCCUGGUAGUCCACGCCGUAGACGGUGGGAACUAGAUGUGGGGUCCGUUCCACGGAUUCCGUGUCGCAGCUAACGGAUUAAGUUCCCCGCCUGGGGAGUACGGCCGCAAGGCUAAAAUUCAAAGGAAUUGACGGGGGCCCGCACAAGCGGCGGAGCAUGCGGAUUAAUUCGAUGCAACGCGAAGAACCUUACCAAGGCUUGACAUAUAGAGGAAAAGUGUAGAAAUACUACUCCCCGCAAGGUCUCUAUACAGGUGGUGCAUGGUUGUCGUCAGCUCGUGUCGUGAGAUGUUGGGUUAAGUGCCGCAACGAGCGCAGCCCUCGUCCUAUGUUGCCAGCACGUAAAGGUGGGAACUCAUGGGAUACCGCCGGGGUCAACUCGGAGGAAGGUGGGGAUGACGUCAAAUCAUCAUGCCCUUUAUGUCUUGGGCUUCCCGCAUGCUACAACGGCUGGUACAGAGGGCUGCGAUAUCGCAAGAUGGAGCGAAUCCCAAAAAGCCAGUUUCAGUUCGGAUUGAGGUGUGCAACUCGACCUCAUGAAAUUGGAGUCGCUAGUAAUCGUGAAUCAGCAACGUCACGGUGAAUACGUUCCCGGGCCU
This 859-nucleotide ribosomal RNA is filed under the name uncultured bacterium. RNAcentral's name for it is "SSU rRNA". It matches the Rfam family "Bacterial small subunit ribosomal RNA", at positions 524 to 1381 of the family's 1533-position model. The record is from RNAcentral.